RNAcentral lists this ribosomal RNA (431 nucleotides) under Haliotis laevigata (greenlip abalone). RNAcentral's name for it is "partial 12S ribosomal RNA". It matches the Rfam family "Bacterial small subunit ribosomal RNA", at positions 917 to 1414 of the family's 1533-position model. Lineage: Eukaryota; Metazoa; Mollusca; Gastropoda; Lepetellida; Haliotidae. The record is from RNAcentral.
UGUUUCAUAUCCUCCCAGGGGAACCUGUCUCAUAAACGAUGAUCCACGUUUUAUCUUACCUUGUUUUGAAACGCUUAGUGUGUAGCGGGUCAGCUUGUAUACCGUCGCCGAUAGAUCACCCUUGAGGGGCUUAAAGUGGUCGGGAAGAGAAGUCGAAGGUUGUAGGUUGCUGCUCUGUUAUGAGUAAUUGCGGCUGAUACUUGUUAUGCUGUGGGACCUAAGGGCCCUGCAGUCGUUAGCUUCUCAGGAUGUCAGAUCAAGGUGCAGCUUAUGGCGAGGUGAUGAUGGGUUACAAUAACUUAUUUGUUAUACGGAUUUUUCGUUGUAAUGCGGAAUUUAAAGGCGGACUUGGAUGUAAUGUUGAAUUAGGAAGUCACAGUGAACUAGGUUUUGAGAUGUGUACAAAUCGCCCGUCGCUCUCGUUGAAAAAU